RNAcentral lists this ribosomal RNA (1305 nucleotides) under Escherichia coli. RNAcentral describes it as "partial 23S ribosomal RNA". It matches the Rfam family "Bacterial large subunit ribosomal RNA", at positions 1367 to 2657 of the family's 2925-position model. Lineage: Bacteria; Pseudomonadati; Pseudomonadota; Gammaproteobacteria; Enterobacterales; Enterobacteriaceae. The record is from RNAcentral.
AAUCGGGGCAGGGUGAGUCGACCCCUAAGGCGAGGCCGAAAGGCGUAGUCGAUGGGAAACAGGUUAAUAUUCCUGUACUUGGUGUUACUGCGAAGGGGGGACGGAGAAGGCUAUGUUGGCCGGGCGACGGUUGUCCCGGUUUAAGCGUGUAGGCUGGUUUUCCAGGCAAAUCCGGAAAAUCAAGGCUGAGGCGUGAUGACGAGGCACUACGGUGCUGAAGCAACAAAUGCCCUGCUUCCAGGAAAAGCCUCUAAGCAUCAGGUAACAUCAAAUCGUACCCCAAACCGACACAGGUGGUCAGGUAGAGAAUACCAAGGCGCUUGAGAGAACUCGGGUGAAGGAACUAGGCAAAAUGGUGCCGUAACUUCGGGAGAAGGCACGCUGAUAUGUAGGUGAAGUCCCUCGCGGAUGGAGCUGAAAUCAGUCGAAGAUACCAGCUGGCUGCAACUGUUUAUUAAAAACACAGCACUGUGCAAACACGAAAGUGGACGUAUACGGUGUGACGCCUGCCCGGUGCCGGAAGGUUAAUUGAUGGGGUCAGCGCAAGCGAAGCUCUUGAUCGAAGCCCCGGUAAACGGCGGCCGUAACUAUAACGGUCCUAAGGUAGCGAAAUUCCUUGUCGGGUAAGUUCCGACCUGCACGAAUGGCGUAAUGAUGGCCAGGCUGUCUCCACCCGAGACUCAGUGAAAUUGAACUCGCUGUGAAGAUGCAGUGUACCCGCGGCAAGACGGAAAGACCCCGUGAACCUUUACUAUAGCUUGACACUGAACAUUGAGCCUUGAUGUGUAGGAUAGGUGGGAGGCUUUGAAGUGUGGACGCCAGUCUGCAUGGAGCCGGCCUUGAAAUACCACCCUUUAAUGUUUGAUGUUCUAACGUUGACCCGUGAUCCGGGUUGCGGACAGUGUCUGGUGGGUAGUUUGACUGGGGCGGUCUCCUCCUAAAGAGUAACGGAGGAGCACGAAGGUUGGCUAAUCCUGGUCGGACAUCAGGAGGUUAGUGCAAUGGCAUAAGCCAGCUUGACUGCGAGCGUGACGGCGCGAGCAGGUGCGAAAGCAGGUCAUAGUGAUCCGGUGGUUCUGAAUGGAAGGGCCAUCGCUCAACGGAUAAAAGGUACUCCGGGGAUAACAGGCUGAUACCGCCCAAGAGUUCAUAUCGACGGCGGUGUUUGGCACCUCGAUGUCGGCUCAUCACAUCCUGGGGCUGAAGUAGGUCCCAAGGGUAUGGCUGUUCGCCAUUUAAAGUGGUACGCGAGCUGGGUUUAGAACGUCGUGAGACAGUUCGGUCCCUAUCUGCCGUGGGCGCUGG